RNAcentral lists this small RNA (53 nucleotides) under insect gut metagenome. RNAcentral's name for it is "Enterobacterial sRNA STnc450". It matches the Rfam family "Enterobacterial sRNA STnc450". The record is from RNAcentral.
CGCUAUACUAGCCGCUGAAACAACCGGCCUACCGCUUCGGACCGGUUUUCACU